This 253-nucleotide ribosomal RNA is filed under the name uncultured bacterium. RNAcentral's name for it is "partial 16S ribosomal RNA". It matches the Rfam family "Bacterial small subunit ribosomal RNA", at positions 524 to 776 of the family's 1533-position model. The record is from RNAcentral.
UACGAAGGGGGCUAGCGUUGCUCGGAAUCACUGGGCGUAAAGGGUGCGUAGGCGGGUCUUUAAGUCAGGGGUGAAAUCCUGGAGCUCAACUCCAGAACUGCCUUUGAUACUGAGGAUCUUGAGUUCGGGAGAGGUGAGUGGAACUGCGAGUGUAGAGGUGAAAUUCGUAGAUAUUAGCAAGAACACCAGUGGCGAAGGCGGCUCACUGGCCCGAUACUGACGCUGAGGCACGAAAGCGUGGGGAGCAAACAGG